GCAUAUUUUUUCUUAUUUUUUAGGCAAAAAUUAGAGCAAAAAUCAAGUAAAAAUAUCAUAAAAAAUAAAAUUUAUAGCCUUUGGUGCACGGUGGACUGGUCGCUUGGUCCUCAGAAGCAAUGGCACAAUCCAUAAGAAUAGUUCAUGGUGUUUUGGCGUGGUCUAUGGGCGAGCGGAAGAAAAUUUGAACCCUUCCAAUGGUUGAUAUCAAUUUUGAG
This 218-nucleotide long non-coding RNA is filed under the name Elaeis guineensis (African oil palm). RNAcentral's name for it is "long non-coding RNA (EGUI_LNC057351)". Lineage: Eukaryota; Viridiplantae; Streptophyta; Magnoliopsida; Arecales; Arecaceae. The record is from RNAcentral.